GGGAAGGUGGCUCAGUGGUAGAGCGCUUGCCUUGCAUGCAUGAGGACUUGGGUUCAGUUCCUCGGCAUCACA
Dipodomys ordii (Ord's kangaroo rat) is the source of this 72-nucleotide non-coding RNA. The record is from Rfam. NCBI's taxonomy places the organism in Eukaryota, Metazoa, Chordata, Mammalia, Rodentia, Heteromyidae.